Molecule: non-coding RNA, 1607 nt
Organism: Triticum urartu
Lineage: Eukaryota; Viridiplantae; Streptophyta; Magnoliopsida; Poales; Poaceae
Source: RefSeq, a predicted model, not a curated record
UAUCAGUUCGGGAAAUAUUGCGUCGUCCCGAACGCCCGGCACGCACCUCUCCCCUUAUCCAUUUCUUCCGUUCCCCAUCGACACUCACUUCGUGGCGAGGAGCUUGGCAGCGAGGCGCUCGACGGCAGAGACAACGAGCGGGAGGAGGUGUGCGGCGGCGGAGACGAGGAGCUGGAGGAGCCGUGUGGCGACGCGGUGUUUCCAAACCCUCGAUAGUGGAGGCAGUACUCGGCGGCGAUGCAGGUGCGUGGCGUCGUAUCGACGGCGGCGAUGCCGGUGCGCGGCAUCCGUGCGUGGGCACGUCGUUGCGGGGAACGACUCCCUGACGGGAUCACGGGGAACGGCGGCCUGACGAGGAGAUCCGGUGUCCUCGUCGCCGCCGUAUGUCGGAGCGCCGCGGCCGCUCGCCGGGAUGGCUCGCGCCGGUGCUAUCCACGCCCGGCGGCAGCCACACGAUGCCAGCGUCGGCAAGCUGGAACGUCUCGCCGACCUGGACGCCUCCUUCAGCGGCGCUAGGAUCUCCUGCAAUCGGGCGGUGCUGGAGCUCCACUACGGCAGCGGUCAUUGCCCCUACAAACGCUAGGUGCUGGCACAGCACCAGGAGAUGGGCCGCCUAUGCAAGGACGUUGCAGGUAGGGCUGGACACGAGCCGAGCCGAGCCGAGUUUGAUCCGAGCUAGGCUUUGGCUCGCCCGUAAGCGAGCUGGCUCGGCUCCGCUCGUUUGGCGAACGAGCCUACUUCUAGUGGCUCGGCUCGUCUUGUAUCUUGCUCGGUCCAGCCCGAGCGGCUCGUGUGAGUGAGUGCUGGUGUGUAUAUUCAGUGUGAUGGCAGCGGCUGGAGUGGGCGUAGGCGCCACCGGCCGACGCCGGUGAAGUGUGGGCGUGUGUGUGUGCGUGCAAAGUCUCCUCUGCGUAGCUGGUUGCCAGGGUCAUUGUCAGGAGAGGAGGGCAUGUACUGGAGGUCAUACCUGCUCUUGCCUGGGACAGUGGCAUGGUCGACGAGGAAUCACGCGAGCGACGAACAGCGGUGUCCGGCGCAGCGGCCAACAUGCACGUACCCCGUCGGUGUCGACGGCGAGCCAUCAGCGUUGGGCGCGGCGAGGAGGACGACGUCGGGUGGUGGCCACUGGCUGGACAGCGGCGGCGCAAACCCUAAGCAGGGGCGGCUGCAUUCGCUGGCUAGGGGAUUCACGUGCGAGUCGGGGUGGUUUGUAGUCGGCUUGGGCUGCUCGUGUGGGCUGCUAUCUAUAGGCAAUGGGCUGAAAAUUAUCUAAAUAAAAUUAACUGGGCUGCGAAACGAGCCACCGAGCUGGACCGAGCGAAAACCGGCUCGGCUCGGUCGUCGAACGAGCCGUAAUUUGCUAGCUCGGCUCGGCCUAUUUUCUUGUCAGGCCGAGCUGAGUCGGGCCGAGCUGAGUCGGGUUUCGGGCCGAGCCGAAAAGCUCGCUCGAGCGUCCAGUCCAAGUUGCAGGCUACAGGUUCAGACUUCAGACAUUUCAGCUCUCUACCAUCAGUCGGGUGCUUACCUUUUGUCAUGCUUCUAUGUAGGAAUGCAACAAAUUGGUAAAUUUACCAUGCGCCCAGUACAAAUUAUUCAACUUUUUGCCA